GAAAACCGUUAAUGACCGUUAAUUUUUAAAAAACAACAGCCUCGUGAGUCGUUCGACCGUAAAACGGUAAAUAAAACAAGAUUAAAGUUUUCAGCACCGCGAGCUUUGGACAGCGCUCGAGACGGUUGGUUCUAAAAUUUUACCUGACAGAAAUUCAAGACUGUUGGGUAGAACAUAGAGCAGUUAUAGUCAGGAGGAAGAGAGCUGCUUCCAUCAGAAUCUGAACCACAGGGGGCUCUACUCAUACAGGGCAGUGCUGUAGUAGGCGAAGGAAUUCUUCAGAGGGGAGAACCAUGCCACUGUCAGACUGUGAAUCCUGAACAAGCACAAAUUAUACGAUGGGUGCUGUACUCUGGAGCACGCAUUCGAGUUCCUUGUUUCAGUCUGUGACAAAACUCCUCAUCAAUGUUGAGCCCUGGAUAUGGAGAUGCCCCUGUGUGCCACAAAACCCACCACAAAGACAAAAAGGCUUUUCAUACCCAGUGAGAAGAUCUCCCAGAGCAGAACACCAUAGGACCAGACGUCACUCUGAGUGGUGAAGACCUUGUCAAAGAUGGAUUCUGGAGACAUCCACUUGAGUGGUAAACGAGCCUACAGAGCAAAAUACAUCGCAGCAUAAACAACAUGCUUACUAAAUACAUCAUAACACCUAAUCUGAACCAUUCACCAUUGCCUCUGAGCCACCAGUCACUCUGUGCCAUGUCAUAUUGGAAUACAGGUGCUUAUUGGCCACGCAGGACAGGACAGGAUUGAAGGUGGACGUGACUUCAGUCCUCUCGCUCACUAUCGUCCAGGAGGAGGAAGCCGGCCCCUCACAUCUUAACAGCAAAACCAGAAAAAGAAACCAAGAAAGAAAAAGGAAGAGAGAGGGACAGAACUUAGUUCAGCUGGGUUUAUGAGCGUGAGUUCACACCACACAGGUGUGUGUGUGUGUGUGUGACACAGCUGCAGCAGGACAAGGGAACUCCGGAAAUGUCUCAUCAUCUUUAGUCCCCUGGGAAUUGAAAUCUGUUUUUAGCAGUAUUUUAGCCUCAUUGAUAAAAUGUUUCAGUCGUGGGA
Long non-coding RNA from Trichomycterus rosablanca, 1059 nucleotides. RefSeq lists it as uncharacterized. NCBI's taxonomy places the organism in Eukaryota, Metazoa, Chordata, Actinopteri, Siluriformes, Trichomycteridae. The transcript is spliced from 8 exons. The record is from RefSeq and is a predicted model, not a curated record.